Molecule: long non-coding RNA, 304 nt
Organism: Xenopus laevis (African clawed frog)
Lineage: Eukaryota; Metazoa; Chordata; Amphibia; Anura; Pipidae
Exons: 3
Source: RefSeq, a predicted model, not a curated record
GUGUAGCAAGCGCAGGGGAAGCAUCCUCCUCAUCCUUGCCUCUGGCUUCUUUCUCAUUGAGAGUCUUCUGCAGCGCCUUCCUGUAUAAAUGCUACUUGGACUUCACACUCUCCUGCCUUGGACUGGCCAGAGAACUGCAAGACCUUUUGGCUGCUGGCAAGAUGAUGCUUCAUUUUACUCUUGGGAAUAGAGAAUAGUUGGCACAGUAAACUAUGCAACCAAUCAGUUAUGGUAAAUCAGCAUGGACAGUGAUGGCUUUCUGAUGGCUUCAAAAGAAAGAGACUUCUUCCCCAGGAUCAAUGGU